This 308-nucleotide unclassified non-coding RNA is filed under the name plant metagenome. RNAcentral's name for it is "partial contains 5.8S ribosomal RNA, internal transcribed spacer 2, and large subunit ribosomal RNA". The stretch from base 1 to 105 matches the Rfam family "5.8S ribosomal RNA", at positions 50 to 154 of the family's 154-position model. The record is from RNAcentral.
GAAAUGCGAUAAGUAAUGUGAAUUGCAGAAUUCAGUGAAUCAUCGAAUCUUUGAACACACAUUGCGCCCGCCAGCACUCUGGCGGGCAUGCCUGUUCGAGCGUCAUUUCAACCCUCAGAACCCCUUGCGGGAUCUGGCGUUGGGGAUUGGCAUCCAGCCAGCCCCGAAAUCUAGUGGCGGUCCCUCCGCGACCUCCCCUGUGCAGUAGCGAUACCUCGCAGCGGGACAGCGGUCUGACCACGCCGUAAAACCCCCAACUUCUCAAGGUUGACCUCGAAUCAGGUAGGAAUACCCGCUGAACGUAAGCA